Molecule: ribosomal RNA, 520 nt
Filed under: uncultured Devosia sp.
Lineage: Bacteria; Pseudomonadati; Pseudomonadota; Alphaproteobacteria; Hyphomicrobiales; Devosiaceae
Description: bacterial SSU rRNA
Rfam family: Bacterial small subunit ribosomal RNA
Source: RNAcentral
ACUCCUACGGGAGGCAGCAGUGAGGAAUAUUGCGCAAUGCCCGAAAGGGUGACGCAGCGACGCCGCGUGGAGGAUGAAGGCCCUCUGGGUCGUAAACUCCUGUUGGAGGGGAUGAAUAUCCGCUUCUUGCGGAUUGACCGUACCCUCUGAGGAAGCCACGGCUAACUACGUGCCAGCAGCCGCGGUAAUACGUAGGUGGCGAGCGUUGUCCGGAAUCACUGGGUGUAAAGGGCGCGCAGGCGGAUUGGUAAGUCGGAGGUGAAAUCUUACAGCUUAACUGUAAAAUUGCUUUCGAUACUGCCGAUCUUGAGUGCGGAAGAGAGUGAUGGAAUUCCUGGUGUAGCGGUGAAAUGCGUARAUMUCAGGAAGAACACCGGUCGCGAAGGCGGUCACUUGGUCCGUAACUGACGCUCAGUGCGCGAAAGCGUGGGUAGCAAACAGGAUUAGAUACCCUGGUAGUCCACGCCUUAAACGAUGAAUACUARUGUCGGUCCCGUUGGGCCUUACGAUKUGAGGUCGA